AAAUUGACGGGGGCCCGCACAAGCAGUGGAGUAUGUGGUUUAAUUCGAAGCAACGCGAAGAACCUUUACCAGGGCUUGACAUCCCUUGAAGCAGCUAGAGAUAGCUGUGUCCUUCGGGACAGGGAGACAGGUGGUGCAUGGUUGUCGUCAGCUCGUGUCGUGAGAUGUUGGGUUAAGUCCCGCAACGAGCGCAACCCUUAUUGCUAGUUACCAUCAUUAAGUUGGGGACUCUAGCGAGACUGCCAGUGAUAAACUGGAGGAAGGUGGGGAUGACGUCAAAUCAUCAUGCCCCUUAUGACCUGGGCUACAAACGUGAUACAAUGGCUGAAACAAAGGGCAGCGAAGGAGCGAUCUGGAGCGAAACCCAAAAAAGCAGUCUCAGUUCGGAUUGAAGUCUGCAACUCGACUUCAUGAAGUCGGAAUCGCUAGUAAUCGCGGAUCAGAACGCCGCGGUGAAUACGUUCCCGGGCCUU
This 473-nucleotide ribosomal RNA is filed under the name uncultured Acholeplasma sp. RNAcentral's name for it is "bacterial SSU rRNA". It matches the Rfam family "Bacterial small subunit ribosomal RNA", at positions 908 to 1382 of the family's 1533-position model. Lineage: Bacteria; Bacillati; Mycoplasmatota; Mollicutes; Acholeplasmatales; Acholeplasmataceae. The record is from RNAcentral.